GAUGAACGCUGGCGGCGUGCCUAAUACAUGCAAGUCGAGCGAACAGACGAGGAGCUUGCUCCUCUGACGUUAGCGGCGGACGGGUGAGUAACACGUGGAUAACCUACCUAUAAGACUGGGAUAACUUCGGGAAACCGGGGCAAAUACCGGAUAAUAUAUUAACCCGCAUGGUUAAUUAGUGAAAGACGGUUUUGCUGUCACUUAUAGAUGGAUCCGCGCCGCAUUAGCUAGUUGGUAAGGUAACGGCUUACCAAGGCAACGAUGCGUAGCCGACCUGAGAGGGUGAUCGGCCACACUGGAACUGAGACACGGUCCAGACUCCUACGGGAGGCAGCAGUAGGGAAUCUUCCGCAAUGGGCGAAAGCUUGACGGAGCAACGCCGCGUGAGUGAUGAAGGUCUUCGGAUCGUAAAACUCUGUUAUUAGGGAAGAACAAAUGUGUAAGUAACUAUGCACGUCUUGACGGUACCUAAUCAGAAAGCCACGGCUAACUACGUG
RNAcentral lists this ribosomal RNA (497 nucleotides) under uncultured bacterium. RNAcentral's name for it is "partial 16S ribosomal RNA". It matches the Rfam family "Bacterial small subunit ribosomal RNA", at positions 28 to 507 of the family's 1533-position model. The record is from RNAcentral.